AGUGAACGCUGGCGGUAGGCCUAACACAUGCAAGUCGAACGGCAGCACAGUAAGAGCUUGCUCUUACGGGUGGCGAGUGGCGGACGGGUGAGGAAUACAUCGGAAUCUACUUUUUCGUGGGGGAUAACAUAGGGAAACUUACGCUAAUACCGCAUACGACCUACGGGUGAAAGCAGGGGAUCUUCGGACCUUGCGCGAUUGAAUGAGCCGAUGUCGGAUUAGCUAGUUGGCGGGGUAAAGGCCCACCAAGGCGACGAUCCGUAGCUGGUCUGAGAGGAUGAUCAGCCACACUGGAAGUGAGACACGGUCCAGACUCCUACGGGAGGCAGCAGUGGGGAAUAUUGGACAAUGGGCGCAAGCCUGAUCCAGCCAUACCGCGUGGGUGAAGAAGGCCUUCGGGUUGUAAAGCCCUUUUGUUGGGAAAGAAAAGCAGCAGGUUAAUACCCCGCUGUUCUGACGGUACCCAAAGAAUAAGCACCGGCUAACUUCGUG
RNAcentral lists this ribosomal RNA (492 nucleotides) under uncultured bacterium. RNAcentral's name for it is "partial 16S ribosomal RNA". It matches the Rfam family "Bacterial small subunit ribosomal RNA", at positions 29 to 507 of the family's 1533-position model. The record is from RNAcentral.